AAGAAAAGAAAAGAAAAACUAUGUAGGCGGAGAAACUCCCCCUACAUCAAUUAAGGAAGAGGAGACACAUUGGCUCCGAAGAGCCGUGAGCCUCCCCACCACAAGGACAAAAGAAAAAAAGAAGUUCAGUGCGGAUCAGGGGGGUUUCUAGAGGCACAAGGCCCGGGAGCCUGGCCGUUGGAAAUACAAUUGUUUUCAAUAGCACGUCUAGUGGUCACAAGUUUGUGGGCGUAAAUAG
This 238-nucleotide long non-coding RNA is filed under the name Dunaliella salina. RNAcentral describes it as "long non-coding RNA (DSAL_LNC000489)". Lineage: Eukaryota; Viridiplantae; Chlorophyta; Chlorophyceae; Chlamydomonadales; Dunaliellaceae. The record is from RNAcentral.